GAAAUAUAAAAAAAAUAAACUUCUAAUUUAUAUAAAGUGAUUAAAUUCAUUAAUAUUUCU
RNAcentral lists this transfer RNA (60 nucleotides) under Eoneureclipsis hainanensis. RNAcentral describes it as "tRNA-Ser". The record is from RNAcentral. Lineage: Eukaryota; Metazoa; Arthropoda; Insecta; Trichoptera; Psychomyiidae.